ACGAACGCUGGCGGCGCGCUUAACACCUGCAAGUCGAACGGAAAGGCCUGCUUUCCCUUGUGGAUUGCGGGUACUCGAGUGGCGAACGGGUGAGUAACACGUGAGUGAUCUGCCCCCAACUUGGGUAUAAGCCUGGGAAACUGGGUCUAAUUCCCGAUAGGACUGCAGGGUGGUGCCUGUGGUGGAAAACGAUUUUCUAGUGGUUGGGGAUGAGCUCGCGGCCUAUCAGCUUGUUGGUGGGGUAAUGGCCUACCAAGGCGGCGACGGGUAGCCGGCCUGAGAGGGUGGACGGCCACAUUGGGACUGAGAUACGGCCCAGACUCCUACGGGAGGCAGCAGUGGGGAAUAUUGCACAAUGGGCGGAAGCCUGAUGCAGCGACGCCGCGUGGGGGAUGACGGCCUUCGGGUUGUAAACUCCUUUCGACCGCGAGGAAGCCACCUGGUUGGAAGGGUGGUGACGGUAGUGGUAGAAGAAGCACCGGCUAACUACGUG
This 493-nucleotide ribosomal RNA is filed under the name uncultured bacterium. Its description in RNAcentral is "partial 16S ribosomal RNA". It matches the Rfam family "Bacterial small subunit ribosomal RNA", at positions 29 to 507 of the family's 1533-position model. The record is from RNAcentral.